Molecule: transfer RNA, 72 nt
Filed under: Planctomycetota bacterium
Lineage: Bacteria; Pseudomonadati; Planctomycetota
Also listed under: 1 other name
Description: tRNA-Met
Rfam family: tRNA
About the family: Transfer RNA (tRNA) molecules are approximately 80 nucleotides in length. Their secondary structure includes four short double-helical elements and three loops (D, anti-codon, and T loops).
Source: RNAcentral
UGCGGGGUGGCGCAAGGGCAGCGCAGCGGCCUCAUAAGCCGAAGGAUGGGGGUUCGAAUCCCUCCCCCGCGA